GCCCCUAUAGCUCAAUGGCAGAGCAGUUGCCUUUUAAGCAAUUGACCUAGGUCCGAUUCCUAGUGGGGGCACCA
RNAcentral lists this transfer RNA (74 nucleotides) under Candidatus Azambacteria bacterium. RNAcentral describes it as "tRNA-Lys". It matches the Rfam family "tRNA". From Rfam's summary of the family: Transfer RNA (tRNA) molecules are approximately 80 nucleotides in length. Their secondary structure includes four short double-helical elements and three loops (D, anti-codon, and T loops). Lineage: Bacteria; Candidatus Azamiibacteriota. The record is from RNAcentral.